RNAcentral lists this ribosomal RNA (303 nucleotides) under uncultured fungus. RNAcentral describes it as "bacterial SSU rRNA". It matches the Rfam family "Eukaryotic small subunit ribosomal RNA", at positions 71 to 374 of the family's 1831-position model. The record is from RNAcentral. Lineage: Eukaryota; Fungi.
UAGUAUUAUACCGNAACUGCGAAAGGGUCAUUAUAUAAGUUAUCGUUUAUUUGAUAGCACAUUUACCUACUUGGAUAACCGGGGUAAUUCUAGAGCUAAUACAUGCAAAAAAUCCCCACUUGAGAGGGGAUGUAUUUAUUANAUUAAAAGCCAACNCCCUUCGGGGCUUCUUGGUGAUUCUUGAAAACUUGCCAAAUCACAUGCCCUUGCCCCGGCGAUGGUNCAUUCAAAUUUCUUCCCUAUCAUCUUUCNAUGCGAGGGUCUUGCCGUCCCAUGGAUGCCGGGGGUAACGGAAAUAANAGG